AGAGUUUGAUCAUGGCUCAGAAUCAACGCUGGCGGCGCGCUUAACACAUGCAAGUCGCACGAGAAAGUGGAGCAAUCCAUGAGUAAAGUGGCGUACGGGUGAGUAACACGUGGGUAAUCUACCUCUUAGUGGGGAAUAACCCUGGGAAACCGGGGCUAAUACCGCAUAAGCUCGAGAGAGGAAAGCAGCAAUGCGCUGAGAGAGGAGCCCGCGGCCGAUUAGCUAGUUGGCAGGGUAAGAGCCUACCAAGGCAUAGAUCGGUAGCCGGCCUGAGAGGGCACACGGCCACACUGGCACUGAAACACGGGCCAGACUCCUACGGGAGGCAGCAGUGGGGAAUCUUGCACAAUGGGGGAAACCCUGAUGCAGCGACGCCGCGUGAGCGAUGAAGCCCUUCGGGGUGUAAAGCUCUUUCGGCAGGGAAGAUUAUGACGGUACCUGCAGAAGCAGCUGCGGCUAACUACGUGCCAGCAGCCGCGGUAAUACGUAGGCAGCGAGCGUUGUUCGGAGUUACUGGGCGUAAAGGGUGUGUAGGCGGUUCUUUAAGUUUGGUGUGAAAUCUCCCGGCUCAACCGGGAGGGUGCGCCGAAUACUGAGGGACUUGGAGUGCGGGAGAGGAAAGUGGAAUUCCUGGUGUAGCGGUGAAAUGCGUAGAUAUCAGGAGGAACACCGGUGGUGUAGACGGCUUUCUGGACCGUAACUGACGCUGAGACACGAAAGCGUGGGUAGCAAACAGGAUUAGAUACCCUAGUAGUCC
This 757-nucleotide ribosomal RNA is filed under the name uncultured bacterium. Its description in RNAcentral is "bacterial SSU rRNA". It matches the Rfam family "Bacterial small subunit ribosomal RNA", at positions 8 to 796 of the family's 1533-position model. The record is from RNAcentral.